CGUAGGAUGCGAGCGUUGUCCGGAUUUAUUGGGCGUAAAGAGUUCGUAGGCGGUUCGUUAAGUUUGAUGUUAAAGAUCAAGGCUCAACCUUGGGAUUGCAUUGAAUACUGGCGGACUUGAGUGCAGUAGAGGCGAGUGGAAUUCUCAGUGUAGCGGUGAAAUGCGUAGAUAUUGGGAAGAACACCGGUGGCGCAGGCGACUCGCUGGGCUGUAACUGACGCUGAGGAACGAAAGCUAGGGGAGCAAAUGGGAUUAGAUACCCCAGUAGUCCUAGCUGUAAACGAUGGAUACUAGGCGUAGCAGGUAUCGACCCCUGCUGUGCCGUAGCUAACGCGAUAAGUAUCCCGCCUGAGUAGUACGGCCGCAAGGUUG
This 372-nucleotide ribosomal RNA is filed under the name uncultured organism. RNAcentral's name for it is "bacterial SSU rRNA". It matches the Rfam family "Bacterial small subunit ribosomal RNA", at positions 526 to 896 of the family's 1533-position model. The record is from RNAcentral.